UGCUAGAGCACUACUGCCUCCUUAGAGCCCUUGAAACACAAGGGUCUGGAGGCAUGUGCUAUACCGUACAACUAUCCCAGCGGCAUCCUCUAAAGAGAGGAAGCGCUAGGAAUGCAUGGGGCUAAUAACAUGUAGGACCACAUCUCUCAGAAAACCUAGGACUGUGUCUGUGUUAAAAAGCGGUUCUGGGCCGAGGAACAUUACUGGAUGGAGAGGGAUGUGCUGUCUGUAAGCUAAGGAAAAAUGUUUCGUUCUUUCAAAUUCGGCUUCGCGACACUCCAGAAGGACGUGGAGCACGGUCAGCCUCUCCCCGCAUCUACCACAGGUUGGAGGCUCACUUCCGGAAUCUGUUGUCCACACAUUUGUAAGCAAGGAUCCGGAACUAGGCCUCUCUUCCUUGUAAACAGCACACAAGAACUUUUUUGAGGAUUGAUUUUAAAACCAUUUUUCUCUGCCCACCCUGACACCUUGUUCAAGCCAUGCUGUACCUGUCUCUCGCAUACUGCGAGGUUACAGGAUUUGAAGCCUAUUUGAAUGUCGUCCACAUAGACGGAAUACAAGAUGGCUGGUGGUAAGGACGCACGAAGCGUUGUCAUUUUAACAAUAAAAAGUGUGCAACUGA
RNAcentral lists this long non-coding RNA (622 nucleotides) under Dermacentor andersoni. Its description in RNAcentral is "uncharacterized LOC126539979". Lineage: Eukaryota; Metazoa; Arthropoda; Arachnida; Ixodida; Ixodidae. The record is from RNAcentral.